UUUGAUUCUGGCUCAGAUUGAACGCUGGCGGGAUGCUUUACACAUGCAAGUCGAACGGCAGCACGGACUUCGGUCUGGUGGCGAGUGGCGAACGGGUGAGUAAUGUAUCGGAACGUGCCUUAGUAGCGGGGAUAACUACGCGAAAGCGUAGCCAAUACCGCACACACUUCGGGAAAGCGGGGGACCUUCGGGCCUCGCACUAUUAGAGCGUGGCCGAUAUCGACAUAGUUGGUGGGUACAACGGCUCACCAAGGCGACGAUCCGUGGCUGGUUUGAGAGGACGACCAGCCAGCACUGGGACUGGAGACACGGCCCAGACUCCUACGGAGGCAGCAGUGGGAAUUUUGGACAAUGGGGGAAACUCUCGAUCCAGCCAUCCUGCGUGUGCUGAUGAAGGCCCUUCGGGUUGUAAAGCACUUUGGCAGGAAAGAAACGGCACGGGAUAAUACCCCGUGCAACUGACGGUACCUGCAGAAUAAGCACCGCCAACUGACGCCAGCAGCCGCGGCAAUACGUAGGUGCAAGCGUUAAUCGGAAUUACUGGGCGUAAAGCGUGCGCAGGCGGUUCGGAAAGAAAGAUGUGAAAUCCCAGAGCUUAACUUUGAACUGCAUUUUUAACUACCGAGCUAGAGUGUGUCAGGAGGGAGUGUGAAUUCCUGCGUGUAGCAAUAAAUGCGUAGAUAUGGAGGAACACCGAUGGCGAAGGCAGCCUGGGAUAACACUGACGCUCAUACACGAAAGCGUGGGGAGCAAAACAGGAUUAGAUACCCUGGUAGUCCACGCCCUAAACGAUGUCAACUAGCUGUUGGGGCCUUCGGGCCUUGGUAGCGCAGCUAACGCGGUUGGAAUCGCCUGGGGAGCACGGCUGCAAGAUUAGAACUCAAAGGAAUUGACGGGGACCCGCACAAGCGGUGGAUGAUGAUUAAUUCGAUGCAAUGCGAAAACCCUACCUACCCUUGACAUGUCUGGAAUCCCGGAAGAGAUUUGGGAGUGCUCGCAAGAGAACCGGAACACAGGUGCUGCAUGGCUGUCGUCAGCUCGUGUCGUGAGAUGUUGGGUUAAGUCCCGCAACGAGCGCAAACUCCCCGUCAUUAGUUGCUACGAAAGGGCACUCACGAGACUGCCGGUGACAAACCGGAGGAAGGUGGGGAUGACGUCAAGUCCUCAUGGCCCUUAUGGGUAGGCUCACACGUCAUACAAUGGUCGGGAACAGAGGGUCGUGCCGAACCAAGGAGGGGAGUCAACCCAGAAACCCGAUCAGAAUCUGGAUCGCAGUCUGCAACUCGACUGCGUGAAGUCGGAAUCGCUAGUAAUCGCGGAUCAAAGCGUCGCGGUGAAUACGUUCCCGGGUCUUGUACACACCGCCCGUCACACCAUGGGAGUGGGUUUACUCAGAAGUAGUUAGCCUAACCGUAAGGAGGGCGAUUACUACUAUAGGAUUCAUGACUGGGGUGAAGUCGUAACAAGGUA
RNAcentral lists this ribosomal RNA (1470 nucleotides) under uncultured Bordetella sp. RNAcentral describes it as "partial 16S-23S ribosomal RNA intergenic spacer". It matches the Rfam family "Bacterial small subunit ribosomal RNA". The record is from RNAcentral. Lineage: Bacteria; Pseudomonadati; Pseudomonadota; Betaproteobacteria; Burkholderiales; Alcaligenaceae.